UGCCGGAGAUGGACCGCAGCUCCUGAGACAGCAGUAUAGCCACGCGCAGCCCAACCCAGCCCUGCCUCCGCGCACCCCGAUGCUGGGGCGGCCAGAGAGGUGGCUGUGGUGGAUGCAGCUCCGAGGGGUGUCUGGCUGUGUCCGUCCUCCUUCCUUGCAACGGGGUGUGUGAGUGAAGUGAGUGAGAGAACCCAGGUAGAAUAUGUCCAAGUUCAGCCUUGGCAUUACAGCAGUAGACCAGACCAACUAGAACAGUCUGUAGUGCAGAACUCUCAUACAUGUGAAGCAAAUCGUUCACCAUUAUGUUUGGCACUAAAAGUCUUGAAGAUCUGCUGGUCCCACAAGAUGUCUGCCACAAUUAUUGAACUUUACUGAGACUGUCAAGAUGAUCCAUGCUAUGAAACCUUCUCUUUCAGAUAUAGAAAUAACAGCACUUCAUCUUUGGCCAAAAGGAGGUGUUUCCUUAUUGGGAGGUCUAGUAACUUGCUCACUAGGUAUUUUUCUGCUGUUCUGAGUAGUUUCCUCAAGGCAGUGCAAAUGCAUUGUAGUAUUCUGAAAGCUUUUCAAACAUUUCUUGCAGUCCAUAUUUUAGUAGUCUUCAUUUUUUCAAGUUCUUUUUAAUCCUAGCCCACAAAUUAUUACAGAAUCUUUAAUUUUUUUUGAACCUUUACAUCAACAGAUAUUAGAGAGUUACCAAAAAAAUCAGUUUGUUGGGAUUUUUUUGUUAUGAUGUAAAGUAGAGGGUUCGGGAAUGUGGCCAGCCCCAGGGAGAUGCAGAAACAGGCAAACUUGUACUGAGUAUCUUUUAACUUAUAUUAAAAUGCUUUUAACUAUAACUUUCUAUUUAACAGUUUUUAUAGGCGUGAGCGCCAAAUAACUAUUAGCAGGAACAGCAAACAAAAUGCAGUGCAAUAGAGGAAAAUACCCUGAGGUUUUUCCAAGUCCCAGUAAUUAUCAACAACAGCCCAGGGAUUUUUAACAGCUAUAUUUACAUUAAUUUCACUCAUAAGGUCUAACAUCUAUCUAAACUCCUAACAGUACUAUUUAACAAACUUCUAACUAACUUACUCCUAAAUCUAUUAUUUAACAAACCUUUAACUAACUUUACACAGCAAUACUCUCACUUAUCAGACACACACGGGACAACAGAGACAACAGCUUAUUCGUUAUGCUCUGCAGAAGAGUCAGUUGAUUCGGUGAGCGGGAGGGGGCCCUCAGACCUGGCUCGCGUUCUGCCUUCCGAAUUUUCGGGAACCCUCAACUGGAUGCAGGAGGGGAAGCUGUUUUAUAGAGAGAGCAAGAGAUUUCCCGCGUUUCGCUGUGAUAGGCUUAACAGAUUCUGUCUACCUAGUGACAGGACUGAGGGGGAAGUGGAAGGGGUGAGAUUGCUCUUGGCAGGCGCAAACUUUGCAUGACCCUUACCUGUCUGGUUUUUUACUCCUGCUUUUUACUGAUCUUAAGUCAGGAUUUUUGGUUUGAGGGGGAAGGUAAUCUUGGCUAGGAAGGCUAUAUGCACAAGGCCUGGCCAAAAAAGAGCCUGCUUUU
Pelodiscus sinensis (Chinese soft-shelled turtle) is the source of this 1545-nucleotide non-coding RNA. The record is from RefSeq and is a predicted model, not a curated record. NCBI's taxonomy places the organism in Eukaryota, Metazoa, Chordata, Testudines, Trionychidae.